CAAUGUACCUGCAGUGCAACA
Molecule: microRNA, 21 nt
Filed under: Oreochromis niloticus (Nile tilapia)
Lineage: Eukaryota; Metazoa; Chordata; Actinopteri; Cichliformes; Cichlidae
Also listed under: 3 other names
Description: oni-miR-33b-3p
Gene: oni-miR-33b-3p
Source: miRBase by way of RNAcentral